This is a long non-coding RNA of Sardina pilchardus (European sardine), 849 nucleotides long. RefSeq lists it as uncharacterized. The transcript is spliced from 5 exons. The record is from RefSeq and is a predicted model, not a curated record. Lineage: Eukaryota; Metazoa; Chordata; Actinopteri; Clupeiformes; Clupeidae.
GGAGGAGGAGGAGGAGGAGGAGGAGGAGUGCAGAGCAUCCUCUUCAGAGACCAGCAGAAUAAACAAGGUCCCCUGCUGAAGCUUCACCAGAGGACUCCUCGCAGACGAGGACAACAGCCCAAAUUACUCAACAGCCCUGAAGACAGCCUGUACUACAACCAGCUCAAUCGUGCUCUGGAUUAUCAGGGGAGCAAGAGGAAGCCGAGGAAACUUGGGCAAAUCAAAGUGCUGGACGGCGAGGACGAGUACUACAAAUUACUGUCUGCCCAGGACUCCAUCCCCGAGGAGGACUUCGCCACGGCAACCCCUCCCACGUUGUCACGGGAGCCCCUCAUCACUCAGACCUGAGCCUCAGGUCCGCCUGUCAGCUGGUUGCCUUCUGUGACCCUAGGAAGAGGAACCACUGCCUCUUGAAGCCAUUCAGAUUUUCCUAUUUAUUUGGCCAUGUUUGUCAGAAACUGUUUUUGAGGUGCUGAAUGUGAACUGUAGCUGAGUUAAUAGUAUGUAGUCUCAUGAUUUAUGUAAAUAAUAUUUGUAGUUUUCAUAUGUUUUGUUUUACUGGUUAUUAUAUCACGUCAUCUCAAUUAACAGGGAAGACUGUAAAUAUGAUAUUACAGUUUGUAAAUCUUUUUCUAUUUUGUUCUUUUUUCCUCAUCAAAACAACACAACUGAAUGUUCUUUAUUUUCUAUUUGUGUUUAGCAAAAAUUAGAUGGGCGAGAUGAUGUAGAGAAUAUGAUGUUAUUUUUGCCGUUAACAUCCUUGUUUUAAUUUUAAAAAUUGUGGAAUUGUUCUUAACACAGAAAAGAGCUCAUGGUUGUUUUGUACUCACACGCUGUAAUAAAGUUCAU